GAGUUUGAUCCUGGCUCAGAAUGAACGCUAGCGGCAGGCUUAACACAUGCAAGUUGAGGGGCAGCGCGGGGUAGCAAUACCCUGGCGGCGACCGGCGCACGGGUGCGUAACGCGUAUGCAACCUGCCCGCAACAGGGGGAUAACGGAGAGAAAUCUCCACUAAUACCCCGUAUUGUCAGGCUUCCGCAUGGGGGACUGACGAAAGCUUCGGCGGUUGCGGAUGGGCAUGCGUGGCAUUAGGUAGUUGGCGGGGCAACGGCCCACCAAGCCCACGAUGCCUAGGGGAGCUGAGAGGCUUAUCCCCCACACUGGUACUGAGACACGGACCAGACUCCUACGGGAGGCAGCAGUGAGGAAUAUUGGUCAAUGGAGGGAACUCUGAACCAGCCAUGCCGCGUGCGGGAAGAAGGCCCUAUGGGUUGUAAACCGCUUUUAACCGGGAGUAAUAAGGGCCGUGCGCGGUCCGAUGAGAGUACCGGUGGAAUAAGCAUCGGCUAACUCCGUGCCAGCAGCCGCGGUAAUACGGAGGAUGCGAGCGUUAUCCGGAUUUAUUGGGUUUAAAGGGUGCGUAGGCGGAGCGUUAAGUCAGCGGUGAAAUGUCCCGGCUCAACCGGGGAGCUGCCGUUGAUACUGUCGCACUAGGGUCCGAACGGCGCCGGCGGAAUAUGUAAUGUAGCGGUGAAAUGCAUAGAUAUUACAUAGAACACCGAUCGCGAAGGCAGCUGGCGAGGACGGCACCGACGCUGAGGCACGAAGGCGUGGGGAUCGAACAGGAUUAGAUACCCUGGUAGUCCACGCAGUAAACGAUGGCGACUUGUUGUCGGCGACAGACUGCCGGUGACAAAGCGAAAGCGAUAAGUCGCCCACCUGGGGAGUACGAUCGCAAGGUUGAAACUCAAAGGAAUUGACGGGGGCCCGCACAAGCGGAGGAGCAUGUGGUUUAAUUCGAUGAUACGCGAGGAACCUUACCUGGACUCAAAUGCAGGACGGCAGGCCCAGAAAUGGGUUCUCUUCGGGGCGUCUUGCAAGGUGCUGCAUGGUUGUCGUCAGCUCUGCCGUGUAGGUGUCGAGGUUAAAGUCCUAUAAACGGAGCGCAAACCCCUCACGCCCAGUUGCCAGCGGGUAAAGGCCGGGGACUCUGGGUGGACUGCCGGCGCUAAGCCGAGAGGAAGGCGGGGUGACGUCAAACAGCACGGCCCUUACGUCCAGGGCGACACACGUGCUAACAUGGCCGGUAACAGAGGGCACCACGCCCGAGGCGGACGAUCUCGAAAACCGGUCUCAGUUCGGAUCGGACCUGCAACCCGGCUCCUGAAUUGGAUCGCUGAGUAAAUCGCGCGAUCAAGCCAUG
This 1351-nucleotide ribosomal RNA is filed under the name uncultured rumen bacterium. Its description in RNAcentral is "bacterial SSU rRNA". It matches the Rfam family "Bacterial small subunit ribosomal RNA", at positions 9 to 1357 of the family's 1533-position model. The record is from RNAcentral.